This is a long non-coding RNA of Triticum dicoccoides, 1508 nucleotides long. RefSeq lists it as uncharacterized. Lineage: Eukaryota; Viridiplantae; Streptophyta; Magnoliopsida; Poales; Poaceae. The record is from RefSeq and is a predicted model, not a curated record. The transcript has 6 exons.
UCCUCACCGCAUCGCCACCCCGACCCCCUCCCCUUUCUCCUCGCCGUCUUCUCUCUCGCGACGCCGCACCCUCCCCGCCAGCCCCUCGCUUCCUUCUCCACCUUCUCACGCUCCCUCCCCAACCGAUCCAAGAUACGGAAACAAUCCUCCUCUCCCCCUCGAUCGAUCGAUUCCGACCGGCCGCGGCGGUGAUGGAUCUCUCCGGCGGGGCCGGCGGCGGCGCGACGCUGUCGGAGAUGUACCAGAGCACGCGGCGGCUGCAGGGAAAGGGAGCCGCCGCGACCCAGCACCGGCGGGCUCCCCUCGCUCUCCGAGCUGGGAGGUAGUCUGCUUCUCCACGGUCGCGCGCUCGCGCCGGUAGAGGAGCCACCCUGCUUCUUCUCCGGCAACGACGCGGCCGUGCCCUCCGACGCCUCUCGUCCGCGUCCGGUGCCGUACAAGAGAUGCUGACUGCUGUCGUCCUCCGAUCCUACUAGCCGCAGCCGCCCCGCCCCCGCCUCCGAGGUCAAGGUCGACGCGGUGGAGAACGAGGAGGUCAUCGUGCACGCCCUGCAGGAGGAGCUCGCGCAGGUCGCCAUGGCCUACAGCGGGGAGGCCGAGCGCCAUGCCACCGUCCUCGCGCAGCAGUGGUUCCGUCCCGAGGUCGUCAGAGCAAUAUUCCUCGUACAAAGCUGGUGGAGUACAAGGGGCACCAGAACUGGGUUAAUGUCUCGGGGAGCACCUGGAGCACCUGGUCUUUCUGGGAGGCGGAACUCAGUUCAAGCAUGGUGCUCUGCACUACAUUGAUUUCAUUCAGGAGGCAAAGAAAGAUGUGGCAUGGGGAAAACUGACCUGUGUAGUUCUAGACGCAGGCAAAGAAAGAUGUGGCAUGAGGCCAGAGGUGGCCGGAUCUGGCAAAGGUCCUCCCCUCCUCACCAUCUCCGUUGCUGGGCCAGGGUUCCGCCGAUCCCCCAAGGUGCAGCUCCCGGCCAUGGGGAAGCGCCAGCAGCCGGAGGCGGCCGAGCAGCCCAUGGCGCCGGUGCGAGGCCCUGCCCUCCUCACCAUCUUGUGAAUGGUGCAGGCCCCGAAGCGAGGCGGCAAGGCGCCGGUGUUGCGAAGAAGAAGGCGGCGUACAAGGUGGUGAACCCGCUGUUCGAGAAGAGGCCGAAGCAGUUUGGAAUCGGUGGCGCCCUGCCGCACAAGAAGGCCCAAGAAGGACCUCCACUGGUUCGUCAAGUGGCCCGAGGUCGUGCGCAUCCAGCGCCAGCGCCGCAUCCUCAAGCAGCGCCUCAAGGUGCCCUGGCACUCCACUAGUUCACCCGUACCCUCGACAAGAACCUCGAUGCACAGGAGCUCUACGAAGAAGAACCCCGAAGAAAAACCACACCCAGCAAUGCGUUUUAGCCCACUGGAGCUAGUUAUGUGUAUAUUUAGUUGUAUUUUAUAGCUGAAAACCAGAUCUGUACUAUGUAUGAUUGUAAUGUACUUUGCUUGGCUGUUGUAUAAAAUAUGAUGCCUUAUUGGCUCCU